Molecule: ribosomal RNA, 426 nt
Filed under: uncultured bacterium
Lineage: Bacteria
Description: bacterial SSU rRNA
Rfam family: Bacterial small subunit ribosomal RNA
Source: RNAcentral
UGGGGAAUUUUGCGCAAUGGGCUAACGCCUGACGCAGCAACGCCGCGUGGAGGAUGAAGGUCUUUGGGUUGUAAACUCCUGUCAGCAGGGAAAAAGGGACUCGGUCUAACACACCGGGGAGUUGAUUGUACCUGCAGAGGAAGCCCCGGCUAACUCUGUGCCAGCAGCCGCGGUAAUACAGAGGGGGCAAGCGUUAUUCGGAAUUAUUGGGCGUAAAGGGCGCGUAGGCGGCUUGGCAAGUGGAUGGUGAAAUCCCUCGGCUUAACCGAGGAACUGCCGUCCAAACUGCUUUGCUUGAGACCGGGAGAGGUGAGUGGAAUUCCCAGUGUAGCGGUGAAAUGCGUAGAUAUUGGGAGGAACAGCAGUGGCGAAGGCGGCUCACUGGACCGGUACUGACGCUGAGGCGCGAAAGCGUGGGGAGCAAAC